GUUCAUUAACGCUCAGUUGGUAGAGCAUGGCGCUUGCCAUGUCAGGGUUGUGGGUUCGAUUCCCACAGGGGACC
This 74-nucleotide transfer RNA is filed under the name Salmo salar (Atlantic salmon). It matches the Rfam family "tRNA". Rfam says of the family: Transfer RNA (tRNA) molecules are approximately 80 nucleotides in length. Lineage: Eukaryota; Metazoa; Chordata; Actinopteri; Salmoniformes; Salmonidae. The record is from Rfam by way of RNAcentral.